GGGAGAGAUGCCCAGCCCCUUAAAGGAGAAUACACACAAUUUUGGAAAAGUGGAGAGGAAGUGGAGGAGCCUAAGAAAGAGAGCAUGAAACAUAUCUCAUGUGAAGGGUCCAGUGGAAAAGUAGGGAGAGAAAUUGAAACAUCUGCAGGAUACAGACACAGGUACAGGGAGAAAAGGCAGCUGCAAGAGUCCUGGUGCCCAAUCUGUCUCCCUCCUCUCCAUCUUCCCAAAGACACUGGAACUAGGAUGCGACUGUCUUUGCCUCUGAGCUGAGGAAAAGUCCCCGGGAGACAGACAUCGUAUGUGGAAGAGAUCGCAGCUACAAGGCAGAUAGAAAGGCUA
Balaenoptera musculus (blue whale) is the source of this 342-nucleotide long non-coding RNA. RefSeq lists it as uncharacterized. The record is from RefSeq and is a predicted model, not a curated record. Lineage: Eukaryota; Metazoa; Chordata; Mammalia; Artiodactyla; Balaenopteridae. The transcript is spliced from 3 exons.